RNAcentral lists this unclassified non-coding RNA (760 nucleotides) under soil metagenome. RNAcentral describes it as "partial contains internal transcribed spacer 1, 5.8S ribosomal RNA, and internal transcribed spacer 2". The stretch from base 156 to 309 matches the Rfam family "5.8S ribosomal RNA". The record is from RNAcentral.
CCGAGUUAUCAACUCCCAAACCCCUGUGAACAUACCUUUUGUUGCCUCGGCGGGAUCGCCCCGGCGCCUCCGGGCCCGGAACCAGGCGCCCGCCGCAGGACCCAAACUCUUGUUUUCUAUAUGAAUCUUCUGAGUGACACAAGCAAAUAAAUUAAAACUUUCAACAACGGAUCUCUUGGUUCUGGCAUCGAUGAAGAACGCAGCGAAAUGCGAUAAGUAAUGUGAAUUGCAGAAUUCAGUGAAUCAUCGAAUCUUUGAACGCACAUUGCGCCCGGCAGUAUUCUGCCGGGCAUGCCUGUUCGAGCGUCAUUUCAACCCUCAAGCCCCCGGGCUUGGUGUUGGAGAUCGGCCCGCCCCCGUGGCAGGCCGGCUCCGAAAUCUAGUGGCGGUCCCGCUGUAGCCUCCUCUGCGUAGUAGCAAUAUCUCGCACCGGAACGCGGCGGAGCCUUGCCGUAAAACCCCCAACUUCUGAAGGUUGACCUCGGAUCAGGUAGGAAUACCCGCUGAACUUAAGCAUAUCAAUAAGCGGAGGACGUACGCUUGGUCAUUUAGAGGAAGUAAAAGUCGUAACAAGGUUUCCGUAGGUGAACCUGCGGAAGGAUCACUAGUGAUUAAAUCGAGCGUGUCUUCAUUGACCGCUCACCCUUCUCACCAUCCACAUACACCUGUGCACUGUUUAGCCUGAGCCGGUUUUCCGGUCCAGGUUAUCAUUUCAUACAAACUCUAGUCUUAUGAAUGUAAACGUUUUAAUAACAUAAUA